Molecule: ribosomal RNA, 340 nt
Filed under: uncultured bacterium
Lineage: Bacteria
Description: bacterial SSU rRNA
Rfam family: Bacterial small subunit ribosomal RNA
Source: RNAcentral
GAGGAAGGUGGGGAUGACGUCAAAUCAUCAUGCCCUUUAUGUCCUGGGCUACGCACGUGCUACAAUGGGCGGUACAACGGGAUGCGAGACCGCGAGGUGGAGCCAAUCCCCUAAAACCGUUCGUAGUUCGGAUUGCAGGCUGCAACUCGCCUGCAUGAAGCCGGAAUUGCUAGUAAUCGCGGAUCAGCAUGCCGCGGUGAAUCCGUUCCCGGGCCUUGUACACACCGCCCGUCACACCACGAGAGUUGGCAACACCCGAAGUCGGUGGGGUAACCUUAGGGAGCCAGCCGCCGAAGGUGGGGUUGAUGAUUGGGGUGAAGUCGUAACAAGGUAGCCGUAA